CCGAGUGCUGGGAUUAAAGGUGUGUG
This 26-nucleotide non-coding RNA is filed under the name Cricetulus griseus (Chinese hamster). The record is from RNAcentral. Lineage: Eukaryota; Metazoa; Chordata; Mammalia; Rodentia; Cricetidae.